GCCCAGGUGGCGGAAUUGGUAGACGCGAUGGUCUCAAACACCAUUGAGGUUAAACUCAUGCCGGUUCGAUCCCGGCCCUGGGUACCA
Molecule: transfer RNA, 87 nt
Filed under: Bacteroidales bacterium
Lineage: Bacteria; Pseudomonadati; Bacteroidota; Bacteroidia; Bacteroidales
Description: tRNA-Leu
Rfam family: tRNA
About the family: Transfer RNA (tRNA) molecules are approximately 80 nucleotides in length.
Source: RNAcentral